UGAGUUUUGUGCAAGGUGAUAACUUAAUGUUUUCAUUGGGCAUUCUGAUGGGCAAAGGAAAUUACCAUUUCAAACUCAGGAAAACUUAAGUGUUUUUGUGUUGUAUCCUGUCAGGGGACACAUUC
Molecule: small nucleolar RNA, 125 nt
Filed under: Mesocricetus auratus (golden hamster)
Lineage: Eukaryota; Metazoa; Chordata; Mammalia; Rodentia; Cricetidae
Description: Small nucleolar RNA SNORA27 (ENSMAUG00000006380.1)
Source: RNAcentral